Tripterygium wilfordii is the source of this 448-nucleotide long non-coding RNA. RefSeq lists it as uncharacterized. The transcript has 2 exons. NCBI's taxonomy places the organism in Eukaryota, Viridiplantae, Streptophyta, Magnoliopsida, Celastrales, Celastraceae. The record is from RefSeq and is a predicted model, not a curated record.
CCACCUCCGGCCAGCUGCUUCCGGCGACAUUCUGGCGAGUCUUCCGGCCGGCAAGGUUCAAGUGUGGGUUUUGAAUCAACUCUAGAGAAGAGUUUGAUUUCUUGAAUUGAAGACACUAACAAGCUUCAAGGUGAGUUGUUUUUGAUGUCGGUACUACUGAUCAGCAGAAGGGGACGUGAUCGUGGUGGCCUGGACGAGUGAUUAGCUUAUGUGUUGGACUUUGGAUGUCCUCUGUUAGUUUGGGAUUAUACAUAUACAUAUAUAUAUAUGUAUAUUAUGAGAUUGUUUUCGGAAUUUAUGUUGGAUGACCCGGAGGGUGUUCCAGAAUAUUGGGACUCCUGUGUCUGGUAGCAUGGUUGUGGCAGUGGACCCUGAGGGUCUUGACUGGAUUGAUUCUGAUUGUUGUUGGAUGUUAUUAGAUUAUUAUGAAUUGGUUGGGUUUUCUGUA